AUGCCGGAGUGCUUGCACUUUGGCAGACUGAGUGGCGGACGGGUGAGUAACGCGUGGGUAACCUGCCUUAUACAGGGGGAUAACAGUUGGAAACGACUGCUAAUACCGCAUAAGCGCACAGUACCGCAUGGUACAGUGUGAAAAACUCCGGUGGUGUGAGAUGGACCCGCGUCUGAUUAGCCAGUUGGCGGGGUAACGGCCCACCAAAGCGACGAUCAGUAGCCGACCUGAGAGGGUGACCGGCCACAUUGGGACUGAGACACGGCCCAAACUCC
Molecule: ribosomal RNA, 275 nt
Filed under: uncultured Lachnospiraceae bacterium
Lineage: Bacteria; Bacillati; Bacillota; Clostridia; Lachnospirales; Lachnospiraceae
Description: partial 16S ribosomal RNA
Rfam family: Bacterial small subunit ribosomal RNA
Source: RNAcentral